This 8299-nucleotide long non-coding RNA is filed under the name Solanum tuberosum (potato). RNAcentral's name for it is "long non-coding RNA (STUB_LNC006715)". Lineage: Eukaryota; Viridiplantae; Streptophyta; Magnoliopsida; Solanales; Solanaceae. The record is from RNAcentral.
UGAGCAAAAACGAGAGUUGAGAAGGAAAACCAAAAUAUCAUCCCAACUUGGUUGCGUUUGGGUCCUCGGAACUCUUUGUUUACACGAUGUUCGAGUACCCAAACCACAAAACCAAUGAAAACGAAGAAUGCUCCAGUUGUUAUCCAAAGCUCGCUCUUUAGAGGUUUCAAGAAAAUCCAAGCAUCCCUCCUAUCAUCAUCCCUUACCGGCACAACUACAGAAAUACCUGACUCUAUAAAAGGUAAUGUGAAAUCCACAUACUCUGACCGGCUCGCUAAAAUGGUCACAUCACCUACAACUGCAUCAUAGUCCUGGCUCAAGCAAACAUUGAUUAUUCCAGUAUGUAUAGUUGAUUGUAAUAGCAGAAAAUAGAUAUCGAAGUCCCAAAAAGGGCCAUGUUAGUAAGAUAUAGAGCCAAAGAGGUUUAUUGGAACAGAGAUUAUAUAUUACCUGAGAGGUGAUCUUGUGAACAAGAUCAUCAUAGUCUGGAAGAGUGAGGGGAUCUUGUAUUGGAAAUGGAAUAAAUUCGUAAGGGAGAGCAUAUGGCAAAGAUAGGAUGACUUCUUUGAAGACAUCUGCACAGAAACCAGUUGCUGUUACUGCUUGUGUUUUUGAAUCUCUUUCCACUUUAAUGAGUUGCUCCAGCCCUCCUUUGAGAGGAACUCCAACCCUUAACUUCUUCCCACUUGUGGGCAUUUCCCAGCCUCUUGGAACAAUAGUUGAUUCACCAGGCCAAAAAAUGGCUCCUAGUUGCUUAUUAUUACACUUAACUGCUGUUUUACCAUUCAUCUUCAGUUUACACGAAAUGCCAUCCCUCUUCGUCCAAAAUCCAAUGUUUUUCUCUCCUUUCCCAAUUAUAUUCACAAUCUGAUAUGGGAUUGGCUGCAGUUCUCCAUUGAUGAUACGGAAAUCACCACUUAAUCCUUGUUUUAGCACUGUGUUUCGCAUAGAGUCAAUGAGCAGAGAUCCCACUGCUGACGUUCCAAGUGCAUCUAAGUCUGUUAAGUUCUCUCUGGUGUCUGGUUUCUUUAAUUUUGGGAUAGCAGUAGUGCCUACUUUAUCUACUGCUUCUGCUAAUGAGGUGAUGCUAUCGUAUGCCCAUAGCCCAAAAACAUUGAGUUCUAUUUGGUCCAUGUCUGGAUACUCUUGACGGAAUCUCUUUCUCCAUCUCUUUGUGUAGUUGUUAAGCUGAUUUGAUCUUGGAAUGUAAGGUUUUAUACCAAGAACACCUUGCAUUGAUGACUCGAUCACUGAAUGAUCUACCAAGUCCAGAAGACUCGUUAGCACAUCUGUGAUGAUCCAUGCAUAUCCACUGCUCAUCAUCCCUGCUUCUUUGGCCUUGAGAAAAAGGCGGGAGGCAAGAUAUGGACGCAAGUGCACGACGAACACCCUUGUUUGCUUUGUAUUCAUAUUGUAUAACUCCUUGAGAAUCUGAUCAUCAUUGGCUGACGGAGAAAUAACACUUCUAUAGGAGACUAAAGUGCUGAUUUCCAGUAAGGCAUCAGUCAAAUGUGGAACUAUCCCGAACCCAUAGGGGCUAUCCUCAUAGAUGACCACAACCUCCCUCCAAUCAAAGUUUUUAACAAGUGCUGCAAUGGCCUUAGUCUGGCUGGAAGAAGGAAGUGCUGCUCUGAUGAAGAAGGGAUUUUCCUUGACUGUAAGUAAAGGACUUGUUGCUGGAGAAAUGAUUGGGACUUUUACUCUGUUCCCUAAGUCGAUCACAAAAUCAGUUUGUGUAGACAUUUGUGGCCCAAAGAUAGCUUGUACUUGGACAUCCUUUAGCAAGUAUAUGGCUGCACAUACACAAUCAGACAAUAAGAAUUUACCCAAAGUAAGAGUUUAAUAGAAGUGAAUCAUGGAACUGAAUUUACCAGCAGAUGUUGCUUCAACAUCAUCUUUCUUGGAAUCCUUGAUAUGAGGAACUAUCCUUAUGGCACCGCGACUAGCGUUGGCAUGAUAAUCUUCAAGUGCUAGUAAGAUAGAUAUGUGCAUUACUUUUCCCACAUCUGUUUCCAGAUCAAGAAUUAUACCCACAUCCACCUUUACAGCACUAGUGUUAUUAUCUUCACCUCUUAUUCGAACCACAUAGUGGUAAAAGCUAAUGAUGGAGAUAAGUUGAAAUGAAAAGAAUUAGAAAAGUGGCAUCUUGGAUUAUGCAUUUGAAAAAACUCUGGUAGCAAGUAGUCUGAGAGAUGGGCAACAAGCAGUUGUGCUUGUGCAAGAUAACCACACAUUCAGAAUGACAAUUUUCCUAUAAUUAAUAAGACCAAACUCCAUAAAUGAAGAAAGAAAAGUCAAAGAACAAAUGGUUGAAAAUCAAGUAUUCGUUUGAUUAUUGAAAGUGAGGACUUUUCACAUAUGCUACAACCGCACAGCUAGUAAGCAUAUUACCCCUCAGGUUUGACUAAAUAAAAAUUUGACAAAAUUGAUUGGUACUCAUUCCCCAACACCCAAUUACUUUUUGUGUGUACUAUCUAGAGGAUAUAUUCAAGGGAACUUACAUGAAUUCAACUAAUUUAGGAGUUAAUUACUUAAAUACAUUGUAGUUUGCAAUAUUACGUAUUUUACUAGAUUUUGGUAUGUCCAGAUACAUUCAGAUACAUAUAUGUGAGGUUACUUAGGAUCAAAAUUAGGUGUAAUUUGCUCUAGAUGCAUUGUAUCUAAGUGACUUUGCAUGUAUCUGGGAUACAUAACAAAUCUCGCUCGCCUCUCUCCCAUCUCUCACUCUCCUAUGUAUCUGAUAUUCCAUAUACAUGUGAAUCACACCAGAUACAUACACAUAAAUGUAUCUUAUGUGUAUAUAGUGUGAUUCGCAUGUAUCUGGGAUACAUAACAAAUCCCGCUUGCCUCUUUCCUCAUCUCGUUCCCCUAUCUUCCUAUUUUUGUGUAUCUGAUGGCAAAAAUUCAUGUAGCCAAAUGUAUUUUCCUCAAUAUAUGAUAGGAAACUCUUAAUUAGUGAUAGUAUACGAAAUAUUUUAAAAGUAUAGAAUAUAAUAGUAUAUAUGAUAGUGAAGUAUGUCUAAUGAUAUAGUUUUUCUGUAUUGAAAGGACUUCCCAAAUUUUGGCUGAGGCAUAAAAAGUUGACAAAUUUAGCUCAGUUACAAAUUCCACAAUUAAACCAAUAAGUAGAAGAGACCAUUGUUUUCCAACUUGGACAAGGCUAGAUACGACUAGUAAUCUUUAGUUUACGCGUUUUCAGUUACUAGUCUUUGGACACGUGCGUUGCACGUAUAUCCCAUAUUAUAUGGUUGCAUAAUAUAUGUCUAUAGUUACAAAUAUAUGUAUAAAAAAAAAUUGAUUGUGAUAUAAAUUGGAAAACAUGUAUAAGAUAAGAAAUCAAAACAGAUACCCUCAAAUUUCAAACUAUAAGCAUAAUAAGAAUAUGUAUUUCUAAUGAGUUUAAUCAAUCAUACCUUGCAAUAAUCUCUGCAAUUCAUUGAGAAACUUUCAAUCCAUACAUCAACAUUCAAUCGUGUAUAUAUAAAGAAAACUUGAAAUGCAUAACAACAAUUAUAUCUAUAUUUUUUAAAACACUAUAAAGUCAUUUUUUCUUUUUGCAUUAUAAUAUGGAUUGCACACAAUUUCUAUUAAAAAAAAGAAAGACAAAAUUAGGAAAAAUCGUAUCAAUAAAUUGGAAUGAAAAAUGUAAAAUUGUAAUAAGAGGAAGAGAAGAAAAAUACAGUAGAAUAUAUUACCUAACCAUGAAUAAGGAAGUAUGUUGAGUAAAAGAAGAGUAAUGCAAAAGUGUGAACUGAUAUAUGGAGGAAAUUGACAAAUAUAAUAAUCUAUAUUGAAUAAUGAAAAACAACUCUUCAAUUUCUGCAAAAAUUUUAUAACUACGAGCUCAAAAUAAUAUAAAUUUAUUAAUUUAAUAAAUGACAUAAAUAAAUAAAUAACAUAUAUUGUGUGUAUGUGUAGUUAAUGGGGUAGUGAAAAAGACUCUUUCUGAAAUUAUUUUUAUCUCUUUAAAGUAAUUUUGAACUUUUGAUAUUAGUGCUAUAGAAAAUCAUAUAAAGUCAUAAGCCACUGCAAGUUUUUAUAGUAAUUAUCUUAUUAAAUUAUAUACCUAUUAUUAUUUUUAAUUAUUUAUAAUCAUUCCGAAAAUGUAUAAAUUAAUUUUGAAAAGCUUGUAAAAUGAGAAAUUAUUAUUUCUUAUCAUUAUUUUAGCUAUUAUUAACAUUUAGUAUGACAACAUUUUAAAAAAGCAGCUUCCUUUAAAUAUUAAUUGUUUCUAAAUUAACAUAGCCAAGAAUUUAAAAUGUUGUGACGUUUUGUUUAUCUAAACACGCAGAAUUUUGUUUUUGAACCUGGAACAUGUAAUUAAGCCUUGGGUGAAUUAUAAUUUUAUUUUUACUAUUUAAUUAAUUAAAUAAUUUGUAACAUUUUAAUAUAAUGAAGGGGUAAAAUGGUAACUCAACUUUAAAGGUUGGAGCUUCCCACUUUUAGUAAUAUAUGAUAAAUUGGUCAGUAGUAGUAACCUAGUUUAAUUUGAUAUAAUAACAUUCAUGACAAAAUAAAUUAAAUAUGGCUAAUUAAGAAAAUAUAAUUAAAUAUGAUUAUCUUUAAUGUUAUUUAAAUUUGUAGGCGAUUUUUUUUGUAUUUUAAAAUUAAAAAAAGGCCAAAAAACCCACAAAAAGAGAUAAAUAGGAUUGAAGCCCUUAGAGAGCGUCACCUCACCGUUUUCAUAUUCAACUUUAUUAUUAUAUAUGGAUUUAGAUUUUUGCACAACCUUAAAUUUAAGGACACAUUUAGAUAUUAUAUCAAACAUUCAUUUAUUUGAAGUUGAAAUUACAUUUUACAUGAAAAUUGGAUAUUCCAUAUUCACAUUGAGUAUGAAUCUUUUUGUUUUUUUUACAAAAUUCAAAAUAAAAAAAUACAAAACAUAAACUUAUAGAUCAAAUUUUACAUUUGACAUUUGAAAGUUUUACUUUUCAUUAAACGUUUUGUUAUAGAAUUUGGAAUCGCCCUUUGAAAUUAGUAUUUAUAAAUGAAAAUAUUGAUCUAGUCCUGUUGAAAUUGUGUCUGGCCUAGUACUUUUUCUUAUUAGAGUGAUUAUUGAAUUAGGUUUAAUAUCAAUUUUCUUAAUUAGUUUUGUCAAUUGGCAGUGCUAAGAAGAUGGGAAUUUACGUUAUAUUAAAUUAUCUUUACAUUAAUAAAAAAAGAAAUUGUUGUUAGUAUUAUUUGUAAUAUAAUUAAACAAAAAUAACAAUGGGAAGAAAAUAAUAAGUAAAGAUUACACGUUGUAUUAAAAUAAUAAGUAUUAAAAAUUAUGAUAAAUUUUAUAAUAGUCAUAACAGGAAUUUACGCAAUAAUUACUAUAUUAGAAUACUAGAAAAAUUGAUAAGUUCCUCGACAUCUAAUCAUUGAUUAAAAUUUAAAUUAUUAUUUUCUUCUGCGAAAGUUUAAGAGAUUAAAUUAAUGUUUUAAAAAAUAAUAUUAAUUAUUUUCAAUGAUUAAUAAGAAAAUGUAUAUAGCAAGUACAUGUAUUAUUAUUACAUUAUUUAUAUCCACUCUAUAUUAAAUCAUUUUUCUAUUAUAGUUUGACGCAAAUUUCAGAAUGUAAAGAAUGUUUUGGAUUCGAAAAAUAAAUAUUCAAAAUAUACUAACAUGUCAUUUAAUCUUAUGAUAUUUUACAUUUCAUGUGAAAAAAAAUUAAAUAUUAAUUUUUUAAUAUGAAAAAUAUUAAUUUAUUAAUACAACAUAAAAGUAAUAAAGGACAAUAUAUAAAAAUAUUUGAAGUAUUUGAUAUUUUAUUAAAUUAAAAUAAUUCUAAAUUAAUAUAUAGCCGCGCAACGCGCGGGUACGUAUACUAGUGAAGAACAAUAAUAAAGAAGAAGACAAUUGAGUUAAUAUUUAUUUUUUCCAAGUUUAAUUUAACACAUGACCAGUUUUUAUUGGUCAGUGCUGUCAAAAAGUUGCACCCACGCGCCUAAAAUAGGUGAAAUCACGGACUCAGCCACGUAGGCCAAAAAGUGGUAAACAAUUAACUAAAAAAUAAGUUCAGGGGGGUAAUAGGACUUUAGUAAAGGUUAGGUGUGUCUCAGGGAUUUUGGGCAUAGGCUGGGGGGGUACUUAUGCAUUUUCCCUUAUGUUAAAUAUACCAAAAUGUUUUUUAAUCUUAUGACUUUAAACAUGUCACGUGAAAAACUGAAAUUAAAGUGUUGCCAAAAAAAGAAGGGUCAUUUUUUUUAAACAGACUAAACAGAAAAGUAGAUCUUUUUAAAACGGAAGGGAAGUAAUUGUUAAUGCAAGAGGAAGCUGCUUGAAAAGUUACGUAUAUGAUGUUGAAGUUGUCUAACAUGCAAUGCUGGUCCUAUAAUCUUUCAUUAUUUAUUAUCCAUGACUAUGGGUGGAUAAUAAUAGUUAUCUGCUAUGAUCAUAUAUACCUAGGGGUGGACAUAUUACUUAGAAAACUUAUGUUAGGUAAUUUUGAUUUCUAAAAAUACUAUAUGGUGUAUGCUAUUUGCAGAUGAUAGUCCUAAUCGACCAGACUCGUAAUAGAGUUAAUGUUAAGCUAGAGAAGAUAAUAAUGGCUCCCUUCUCAAAUAUUUCAUUGGUAGAAAUUUGCCUUCCAGAAUUUCAUAAUUGCAUCUGAUCCUUUCUGAUAACUCAAAGGGCAUCUUAAAUUGGUGCGGAAGUUUAAUUUUGACAUGGAACGCAAAUAUAUGCGGAAAAUUAGUAAUUCAAUAAAUAUUUAAUUAUGAAUGCAUAUUACAAAAGUGCAAGGAAUUCAAUUGUAAGAUGUUGAAGGUUAAACCCAUAAAUUCUAAAUACUAGAGACGCCUCUUAAUGCAAAUAUAAUAUGGUUUAACUAUUUUAAACCUGGCUCAUCUCUCUUAAGUUGUCCCUGUAAUGUUUUCAUGAACUGGAGUUCCAGGUUCUGUUGUAGAGAACCCUUCAAGUGCAGGGGAUGCUCCUAAGCCGUCGGAAAUUCUGAUUUCUGGGCUUUGCAAAGGAAGGUGGGGCAAUAUUUCAGUAGAGGCUUCACUUUCUGCAAACAGCAUAGCUGUUUGGAUUUCAUUGCCUUCAGAUGGCUCUUCUGACAUAGAAUUAGAGUUGUCUCUCUCUUUAUCAAAGGCAUUUGCUAUUGCAGAAAGCUUUUGCCAUACUGAAUCAUCAGUGGCUAAGAUUUCUCUAUUCUGAUAAAGGAAGAUGAGGAAGAAUAGGAGAAGAGCGGAGCCCGCUGAUACACCAGCUAUGAGGAAAAGGCCCUUAAAACUAUCGAGCAUGAGGCUAGAUGCUAUAGCCAUUCCAUCUUGCUUUGGACAAUCUGUUUCAUUCCCAAACCAUUUCUGUAUUAUGUUAUUCAUAAACUCUCCUUCCAUCACCUGCAAGACUGCUCUUGAGACGUCAGGUACCAAAGGAGAUCCUUUUGGAAAUGCCUGCCAGAAGUUGGGGGAAAAUAAAAGAUUAAAUUAUUGAGUAGAACAUAAACCAUUCUAAACAAAUGUAAACACGUUCUGAAACAUCACUGGAGUGCAACAUUCUUACGAAUCCAAAGCCAGCAGCCUUGUAUGUCGGACCGACCAUAAUAUACUUCCUGCAAUACUUGUUGAGGAAGAGUCUGAGAUAAGGUAGUUCAUCAACAAUUGCACCAACACCUCCAUUUUUACUUCCUCUUGAGAGGGCAUUACUAUACUCUUCCAAUGUGCUAUAACUUAUGAACUUGGAACUGUCAAACUUCAUGUGCUUCAAGACAUCUUUGACAAAGGAACCUUCUUGGUACCCAACAUAUUCUCCAUUCUUGAUCAGAUCAUUGAGGUCAGUUAUAGAAGGUUGGAGCUGUUGCACUGUCAACAUAGAUGUUAAGUUGGCUGUAUAACUUGAUGUCAGCACCAGAACCACGAAAACCCACACAAUCAGCACAAAUCUUGUGAAGUUACUAGUAACCCUCUCUCCUGAAACAACCAGCCAUAUAUAUGAUUUGUUGAGAAACAAGGAUAAAUCCUAAAGCUUUUUGUAUAUAAUUUGCUUUGUGUUAGAGACUUACUAUGAGCAAAAACGAGAGUUGAGAAGGAAAACCAGAAUAUCAUCCCAACUUGCUUGUGUUUGGGUCCUCGAAACUCUUUGUUUACACGAUGUUCAAGUACCCAAACCACAAAACCAAUGAAGAUGAAGAAUCCUCCUGUUGUUAUCCAAAGCUCGCUCUUUAGAGGUUUCAAGAAAAUCCAAGCAUUCUUUCUAUCAUCAUUCUUUACCGACACAACAGCAGAAAUACCGGACUCUGAAAAAGGUAAUGUGAAAUCCACAUACUUGGCUCGGCUCGCUAAAAUGGUCACAUCACCUACAACUGCAUCAU